Molecule: non-coding RNA, 297 nt
Organism: Candidatus Gottesmanbacteria bacterium
Lineage: Bacteria; Candidatus Gottesmaniibacteriota
Source: Rfam
UUUUAUAGAUCGAUCCCCGGUAGCUCAGCCUGGUAGAGCGGGAAGCUGUAGCGUACUGCAGCCCUUUUUAGCGAUGAAAAGGGAAACACAGGGUGAAUUCAGGGAAGCCUUCGCUAGUGGUGAAAAUCAAUAGCAUGGUAAUCCUGAGCCAACUCCGAUGAAUGGAAUAAACGUAGUCGGAAAGGUGCAGAGACUAGGAGUGAGGAUCCAACCAAUACUCUCCAUAAGCGCCCUGCUCCAACAUUAUUUUGGUAGUGUUGGAUGAAGAGAUAGUCCACACUUUACGGAAACAUAAAG